This is a non-coding RNA of Arthromyces matolae, 92 nucleotides long. Lineage: Eukaryota; Fungi; Basidiomycota; Agaricomycetes; Agaricales; Lyophyllaceae. The record is from the annotation of a GenBank genome assembly.
UCCGGUAUGGUGUAACGGCUAACAUUGCCGCCUUUCAUUCCAGAAUUCGCACGUGUGCGCGGCAGCUCGGGGUUCGAUUCCCCGUACCGGAG